This 1150-nucleotide long non-coding RNA is filed under the name Aotus nancymaae (Ma's night monkey). RNAcentral's name for it is "lncRNA (ENSANAG00000038537.1)". Lineage: Eukaryota; Metazoa; Chordata; Mammalia; Primates; Aotidae. The record is from RNAcentral.
UGAAGUUGCUUAUUAGCUUAUGAAGCUUUUGGGCUGAGAGGAUGGGAUUUUCUAGAUAUAGGGUCAUGUGAUCUGCAAACAAAGAUAAUUUGACUUCUUCUCUUCCUAUUUGAAUAUGCUUUGUUUCUUUCUCUUGCCUGAUUGCUCUGGCCAUAAAUUUUAAUGCUAUGUUGAAUAGAAGUGGUGAGAGAGGGCAUCCUUGUCUUGUGCCAGUUUUCAAGUGUAAGGGUUAACUAGAUUGUUUAUAAAGCUUUGCACAGACUCCUCACGAUCUUCAUUUCCUUGUAUAAGUUGAGAGCAUUCGGUGCACAGAGUGAGCUCAACUCACCUUGAACCCAGAUCUGGGAACCUGGCCAGUUCCCGUGGUCCACUUUUUAGUAAAGCAAUUCAAGGACGCAGUUGCAUAAUGAAGACGGAGUCAACAUAUCUUAAACUGUAAAUAAGCUUCUUUCUUUAGCACAAUAUAAAAGAAAUGAACUUCUUUUUUUAGCACAGUAUAAAAGAUAGUCCAGUGUUAAUACAGUAUAAAGAAGAACAGUCUAGUGUUAUGUUACAGGAGAGAGCUUAUUACUAAGAGUCGACAGAAGGCUUGGCUUUGCAGUUACCCCUGCUGAUUUCUUUGCCGGACACCCGUGCUGAUCUUUGUUGCCGGAUGCCCGUGCUGAUCUUUGCCGGUGUAUACCCGUGCUGAUUUCUUUCCGGUGUAUGCCCGUGAUGAUUCCUUUCUGAUUUAUUUGCCGGUGUUGCUGUGAGGCCUCCAGAUUGACUUUGCGAUUACCCGUGCCGGUGUUGCUGUAAUUACCCGUGCCGGUGUUGCUGUGAUUGGAUUACCCGUGCUGCCGGUGUUGCUGUGAUUACCCGUGCUGAUUCUUAUGCCGGUGUUGCUCUAAUUACCCGUGCUGCCGGUGUUGCUGUUAAGUGGACAGAAGGCUUCCAGAUUGACCUUGCGAUUACCCGUGCUGAUUCUUAUGCCGGUGUUGAUGUGGAUGGUAAUGUAAAUAUAUAUAUAUAUAGUAAAUAAAUCUCUUUUUCUUAUAUACUCUCGACUGGUGUUUUUCCUCCCCAUGAACCUGCCUGUUAAAACAAAUCCAAGCUUGGUCUCUUUGGUAUUUGUCUUGUACCAAAACAGGAGCCCACCUCCCAAGGUGUC